This 608-nucleotide ribosomal RNA is filed under the name uncultured bacterium. RNAcentral describes it as "bacterial SSU rRNA". It matches the Rfam family "Bacterial small subunit ribosomal RNA", at positions 8 to 610 of the family's 1533-position model. The record is from RNAcentral.
AGGGUUUGAUCCUGGCUCAGAUUGAACGCUGGUGGUAUGCUUAACACAUGCAAGUCGAACGGUAACAUUGGAGCUUGCUCCAGAUGACGAGUGGCGGACGGGUGAGUAACGCGUAGGAAUCUGCCUAGUAGUGGGGGACAACAUGUGGAAACGCAUGCUAAUACCGCAUACGCCCUACGGGGGAAAGCGGGGGAUCUUCGGACCUCGCGCUAUUAGAUGAGCCUGCGUUAGAUUAGCUUGUUGGUGGGGUAAUGGCCUACCAAGGCGACGAUCUAUAGCUGGUCUGAGAGGACGAUCAGCCACACUGGGACUGAGACACGGCCCAGACUCCUACGGGAGGCAGCAGUGGGGAAUAUUGGACAAUGGGCGCAAGCCUGAUCCAGCAAUACCACGUGUGUGAAGAAGGCCUGAGGGUUGUAAAGCACUUUCAAUUGGGAGGAAAACAGCUGGGUUAAUAGCCCUGCUCUUGACAUUACCUUUAGAAGAAGCACCGGCUAACUCCGUGCCAGCAGCCGCGGUAAUACGGAGGGUGCGAGCGUUAAUCGGAAUUACUGGGCGUAAAGCGUACGUAGGCGGUUAUUUAAGUCAGAUGUGAAAGCCCCGGGCUC